Molecule: ribosomal RNA, 380 nt
Filed under: uncultured bacterium
Lineage: Bacteria
Description: bacterial SSU rRNA
Rfam family: Bacterial small subunit ribosomal RNA
Source: RNAcentral
AAUCAACGCUGGCGGCGUGCCUCAGACAUGCAAGUCGAACGAUUAAACUUUCCUUCGGGAAAGAUAUAAAGUGGCGCACGGGUGAGUAACACGUAGGUAAUGUGCCUUUGGGUGGGGAAUAACUUAGGAAACUUAAGCUAAUACCGCAUAAUGCAGCGGCUCCUUCGGGAGACAGUUGUUAAAGAUUUAUCGCCUAAAGAGCAGCCUGCGGCAGAUUAGCUAGUUGGUAAGGUAACGGCUUACCAAGGCUACGAUCUGUAUCCGGUCUAAGAGGACGGUCGGACACACUGACACUGAAUAACGGGUCAGACUCCUACGGGAGGCAGCAGUCGGGAAUUUUGGGCAAUGGGCGAAAGCCUGACCCAGCAACGCCGCGUGAA